Molecule: non-coding RNA, 588 nt
Organism: Crotalus tigris (Tiger rattlesnake)
Lineage: Eukaryota; Metazoa; Chordata; Lepidosauria; Squamata; Viperidae
Source: the annotation of a RefSeq genome assembly
GUGAGAACAAGCAUCCGUCUUGGUGUGAACAAGAGAAAGAAGGAUGAGAGAUCAGGGGAGCAGAAUCGUUGCCUUGUUGUUGGUCAUCUGCACAGGUUCUCCUGGAAGAGCACAAACGAUCAAUCAGCCUGGGUCAGCAACAGCCUUGGAGAGAAAACCUUAUCACCUUAGCUGCAAUCUCUCUUCUGUAACUACAGAAAUGAUCCAAUGGUAUCAGCAGUUCUCUGGGCAGAUACCACAGUACCUUGGUGGGGCCUACCCAAACAAUGAAGAUGAAGUUGCCAAUCCAAAGGGAAAGUUGUAUUUUUCUCAAGACAAGACAUCCAGCAUGCUUGUGAUCGAUGAAGUCACUCUGGCAGAUGCUGCUGUCUAUUUCUGUGCUCUGAGAGACACACAGUGUCUCAAGGACGGAUCUGUUGCCAUUCAUGAACCUCUCUCAGAGACUGAACACAGGAGGAGCUAUUGCAAAGGGAGAUGGAGCAGAGAAAGUGGAGAAGAACACAACAGAACAGAAUAACAGAGUUGGAAGGGAUCUUGGACCUUUUCUAGUCCAACCCCUUGCUCAGACAGGAAACUCUAUACCAGAGG